UCCAACAUAUAUUAAUUAAUAUUAAUAUGGAUGAAGGUGAAGGGUGUCUGUUCGUCGAAUGGGAGCUGCCCAGCUGCGCUUCUUGGUGGUGAGUACUGCAAAAGGCGAGAAAAAGCUGCUAAAGAUCAUCAUCAAAGCUUCUUAUAUAUAGUCGGUGGCAAAACCUCACAUGCAGUGGAGCUUUUGGUUCAUCAUUCCAACUUUAAAUUUUGAAAAUUAACCAAAAGGAACCACUUGACUUUGGAUUUGCUCAUAUUUUGGAAGGAGGGAUUGGAUUUAAAGUUAUAAUUGGGACGGUGGUGGGCCGGUGGCUUUGGCUCUGCAGGGGUAGCCAUCAUUGGAAGAGAAGAGUUCUUUGGGAUCUGCAAACGCAGCGCGGCUGUAUUAGGCGUGUCAGAUCUCAAGAGUCCUGACAGCCCAAAAGAAGACAAGCAACAAGAAGAAGCAAUCUCUCAACGGUAUUUUUAUUCAACAAAGCCAAGCCUGUAGAUAGAUUACGAACAGAGUGAGAGACAGAGAGAGAUCAGAAAGGAUUGUCAGGGAAACAAAGCAAUCAGCUGGAAGAAGAAGAGGAACAAGACGAUCAGUACCCGUUUCAGAAUAAAGAACGAUCGAUGAUGAAGAAUGCUGCUAAGUGAAUAGGGGGCGAGGAGAUGAGACGGUUCAGGUCCACCGCGGCGGCCGGAAAGACCGGCACAGCAAGGUUUUCACGGCGAGGGGUCCCAGGGACCGGCGGCUCCGGCUGUCGGCGCAUACCGCGAUUCAGUUCUACGACGUGCAGGACCGGCUGGGCUACGACCAGCCCAGCAAAGCCGUGGAUUGGCUCAUCACGAAAGCGAAGAACGCCAUUGAUGAGCUCGACAAGCCGUUGCCGCCCCCGCCAUUGGAGCCCCCAAGUGCGGGCUCCAGUGAAUCGGCGAUGGAGCACUACCAAGAAAACGAUGUUUCACUGUUUCUGCAAUCAUCAAUGGAUGCCCCAUUCAUUUCAGAAACUAUGAAAUCGUUUUUCCCGGUCUGUUCCGGCGCUUCACCGGUGAAUUUUCAGGCUGAUCGGCCCAUUAUUCCGACGAAUUUUGGGGCGAAUUAUGAUGAAUACAUCUUCGCCUCGCAUUCAAUGGCGCCGCGGCCAUUUCUAUGCGAAAGCUCGGCGCCAUGGCAGAGGGGGCCCCUUCAGUCCAGCUUUCCUCCAUCUCCGGCCAUCCAACCGUGUUUCGUUGCCGGCGAGGGUCUUUUACAACGUCAAAUUCACGGCGCCGGCGCCAAUCAGGAUGGAAUGGUUUCUUCGUCCUCUGAUUCGCCCAAUUCCCUCCAUUGAUUCUAGCCUAUUCUCUUUCUUGUUCUUCGAUUCGAUGGGUUCAUGCAUGUUGAUGAUUUUCUUGUUGAAACAGAGAUCAACUUUUUGUGGACGUUCGUUGUGAUUAUUACUUAUUUGCAGACUAGUUACUAGACGAUUGAUUUCCCAUCGUUUGAUGUAUUCCAGAGUUUUUGAAACACAAGGGCCCUGACGUAAGAUGAAAAUAUAGGGAAAUUUUGCCAGAUACCCUUGAAUUAACAUAGAGAAAUUUGUUCUCG
Diospyros lotus (date-plum) is the source of this 1572-nucleotide RNA transcript. It is a transcript of the gene named transcription factor TCP4-like, with no coding region annotated. The record is from RefSeq and is a predicted model, not a curated record. The transcript is spliced from 2 exons. NCBI's taxonomy places the organism in Eukaryota, Viridiplantae, Streptophyta, Magnoliopsida, Ericales, Ebenaceae.